UGCUAUACAUGCAAGUCGAGCGGACCGACGGGAGCUUGCUCCCUUAGGUCAGCGGCGGACGGGUGAGUAACACGUGGGUAACCUGCCUGUAAGACUGGGAUAACUCCGGGAAACCGGGGCUAAUACCGGAUGCUUGAUUGAACCGCAUGGUUCAAUCAUAAAAGGUGGCUUUUAGCUACCACUUACAGAUGGACCCGCGGCGCAUUAGCUAGUUGGUGAGGUAACGGCUCACCAAGGCGACGAUGCGUAGCCGACCUGAGAGGGUGAUCGGCCACACUGGGACUGAGACACGGCCCAGACUCCUACGGGAGGCAGCAGUAGGGAAUCUUCCGCAAUGGACGAAAGUCUGACGGAGCAACGCCGCGUGAGUGAUGAAGGUUUUCGGAUCGUAAAACUCUGUUGUUAGGGAAGAACAAGUACCGUUCGAAUAGGGCGGUACCUUGACGGUACCUAACCAGAAAGCCACGGCUAACUACGUGCCAGCAGCCGCGGUAAUACGUAGGUGGCAAGCGUUGUCCGGAAUUAUUGGGCGUAAAGCGCGCGCAGGCGGUUUCUUAAGUCUGAUGUGAAAGCCCCCGGCUCAACCGGGGAGGGUCAUUGGAAACUGGGGAACUUGAGUGCAGAAGAGGAGAGUGGAAUUCCACGUGUAGCGGUGAAAUGCGUAGAGAUGUGGAGGAACACCAGUGGCGAAGGCGACUCUCUGGUCUGUAACUGACGCUGAGGCGCGAAAGCGUGGGGAGCGAACAGGAUUAGAUACCCUGGUAGUCCACGCCGUAAACGAUGAGUGCUAAGUGUUAGAGGGUUUCCGCCCUUUAGUGCUGCAGCAAACGCAUUAAGCACUCCGCCUGGGGAGUACGGUCGCAAGACUGAAACUCAAAGGAAUUGACGGGGGCCCGCACAAGCGGUGGAGCAUGUGGUUUAAUUCGAAGCAACGCGAAGAACCUUACCAGGUCUUGACAUCCUCUGACAACCCUAGAGAUAGGGCUUCCCCUUCGGGGGCAGAGUGACAGGUGGUGCAUGGUUGUCGUCAGCUCGUGUCGUGAGAUGUUGGGUUAAGUCCCGCAACGAGCGCAACCCUUGAUCUUAGUUGCCAGCAUUCAGUUGGGCACUCUAAGGUGACUGCCGGUGACAAACCGGAGGAAGGUGGGGAUGACGUCAAAUCAUCAUGCCCCUUAUGACCUGGGCUACACACGUGCUACAAUGGGCAGAACAAAGGGCAGCGAAGCCGCGAGGCUAAGCCAAUCCCACAAAUCUGUUCUCAGUUCGGAUCGCAGUCUGCAACUCGACUGCGUGAAGCUGGAAUCGCUAGUAAUCGCGGAUCAGCAUGCCGCG
This 1332-nucleotide ribosomal RNA is filed under the name Bacillus sp. WB21-21. RNAcentral describes it as "bacterial SSU rRNA". It matches the Rfam family "Bacterial small subunit ribosomal RNA", at positions 45 to 1361 of the family's 1533-position model. The record is from RNAcentral. Lineage: Bacteria; Bacillati; Bacillota; Bacilli; Caryophanales; Bacillaceae.